GUUAAACACCUAGCAUUAUUUGACGUUACCUACAGAAGAAGCACCGGCUAACUCCGUGCCAGCAGCCGCGGUAAUACGGAGGGUGCGAGCGUUAAUCGGAAUUACUGGGCGUAAAGCGCAUGCAGGCGGCCUGUUAAGUCAGAUGUGAAAGACCCGGGGCGUUAACCUCGGAAUUGCAUUUGAAACUAGGCAGGCUAGAGUCUUGUAGAGGGGGGUAGGAAUUUCAGGUGUAGCGGUGAAAUGCGUAGAGAUCUGAAGGAAUACCAGUGGCGAAGGCGGCCCCCUCGGACAAAGACUGACGCUCAGAUGCGAAAGCGUGGGGAGCAAACAGGAUUAGAUACCCCUGGUAG
RNAcentral lists this ribosomal RNA (350 nucleotides) under uncultured bacterium. RNAcentral's name for it is "bacterial SSU rRNA". It matches the Rfam family "Bacterial small subunit ribosomal RNA", at positions 451 to 793 of the family's 1533-position model. The record is from RNAcentral.